RNAcentral lists this ribosomal RNA (292 nucleotides) under uncultured Syndiniales. Its description in RNAcentral is "partial 18S ribosomal RNA". It matches the Rfam family "Eukaryotic small subunit ribosomal RNA", at positions 607 to 904 of the family's 1831-position model. Lineage: Eukaryota; Dinophyceae; Syndiniales. The record is from RNAcentral.
AAGUUGUUGCGGUUAAAAGCUCGUAGUUGGAUUUCUGUCGAGGAUGUCCGGUCCGCCCUAAAAGCGUGCAUCUGGUUCAGCCUUGGCAUCCUCUUGGGGAACUUACCCCCCCUUAACAGAAAGAUGCGGUAUCCAAGACUUUUACUUUGAGGAAAUUAGAGUGUUCACGGCAGGCAAUCGCCUUGAAUACAUUAGCAUGGAAUAAUAAUAUAGGACCUUGGUCCCAUUUUUUUUGUUUCUGGAACUGAGGUAAUGAUUAAUAGGGAUAAUUGGGGGCAUUCUUAUUAACGUG